Molecule: long non-coding RNA, 993 nt
Filed under: Homo sapiens (human)
Lineage: Eukaryota; Metazoa; Chordata; Mammalia; Primates; Hominidae
Description: non-protein coding lnc-TMEM234-3:7
Source: RNAcentral
GGUCAAUUCGCGGCGUAGCCGCUGCCCCAACUCCUGCCCCAUUCUGGUCCCGCCCCUCUCCCGCCUUUUCGCUGGGAAGGGUAUCACCUUUCUCUGGCCCCGCCCCUGACGGUUCCGGGCCCCGCGAAGCUUAGUCCCUUCUUUGUCAAGCCAGGACCCGCCCACGGUCUAUUCAUAGGGUCCCAAACCACUUUGGCCACAACACCCCCAGACUGGUCCGAAGCCUCGUGAGUUCGCCCUGGUCGUUGCACUCCAGCCUGUCGCUGUGCAGACCUGGCUUAGAGGACCCCUAAGGCUGAGGGGUCACUUCCAGAACUGAGUCCGGUCCGCAGGUUCUGCUACGCUCCAGCCAGCCCCUAACUGGUCCCCAGAAGCGGCGCUGCUACAGGGACCAGGAGCUGCUGCGAACUGCGCUGGCGGGGGCUCGUCCUUGGGCGCGGGGCUUCAUCAUGGACACGCUCUCGGCCCAGGCCGCGAAACAAGCCCGCGUGACUGGCGGAGGCACAGAGACCAAGGCCGCUUAACCUGGCUGGUUGCACUGGUCCCUGGAGAGAGGGCGUCCCCUGCAGGAGAGCUUCAUGCGCCUGGUGGAGGCCUGUGGGGACUCGGAGCAAAGCAUGGACAACUGGCUGAGUCGGCUGGACGGCUGCCGCUGACUGUAACAUGUAAAGCAGGCACUGAGCACCACCUGCCUGGCAGUCCAGGGCAUGGAGAGGCACAGACAGCACCCUGCUUGUGACUUCACUGGCCCAACUCAUCCUGGACCCCUUGAGCAAGACCAUGGCUGGAUUCCAGGAACUGGUGGAGUGGAAGUGGAUCCAGGAAAAUGCCGUGUGAAGGGAGGACUCAGAUGCACUCCCUGUGGUCUGGGCUCAACCAGCCAAAAGAGCAACAAAGACUCCAGAACCCACUCUACCUCCUCAAUCCCUUGGCCAUCUGUGGAGCCCCAGAGCCUGCGGCUGUGGCAAGGUGAGCUCCACACCUUCUCCCCUG